This 468-nucleotide ribosomal RNA is filed under the name uncultured bacterium. Its description in RNAcentral is "partial 16S ribosomal RNA". It matches the Rfam family "Bacterial small subunit ribosomal RNA", at positions 28 to 507 of the family's 1533-position model. The record is from RNAcentral.
GACGAACGCUGGCGGCGUGCUUAACACAUGCAAGUCGAGCGGAAAGGCCCGGCUUUUGUGGGGUGCGCGAGUGGCGAACGGGGGAGUAACACGCGAGUAACCUGCCCUUGACUGUGGGAUAACUUCAGGAAACUGGGGCGAAUACCGGAUAUGAGCUCCUGCUGCAUGGGGGGGGUGGGAAAGAUUCGUCGGUUGGGGAUGGACUCGCGGUUUAUCAGCUUGUUGGUGGGGUAGUGGCUUACCAAGGCUUUGACGGGUAGCCGGCCUGAGAGGGUGACCGGCCACAUUGGGACUGAGAUACGGCCCAGACUCCUACGUGAGGCAGCAGUGGAGAAUAUUGCACAAUGGGCGGAAGCCUGAUGCAACAACGCCGCGUGCGAGAUGACGGCCUUCGGGUUGUAAACCGCUUUCGCCUGUGACGCAGCGUGAGUGACGGUAAUGGGUAAAGAAGCACCGGCUAACUACGUG